This 342-nucleotide unclassified non-coding RNA is filed under the name soil metagenome. Its description in RNAcentral is "partial contains 5.8S ribosomal RNA, internal transcribed spacer 2, and large subunit ribosomal RNA". The stretch from base 1 to 120 matches the Rfam family "5.8S ribosomal RNA", at positions 35 to 154 of the family's 154-position model. The record is from RNAcentral.
GAUGAAGAACGUAGCGAAAUGCGAUAAGUAAUGUGAAUUGCAGAAUUCAGUGAAUCAUCGAAUCUUUGAACGUACAUUGCGCCCGCCAGCACUCUGGCGGGCAUGCCUGUUCGAGCGUCAUUUCAACCAUCAAGCCCCCAGGGGCUUGUGCUGGGGCCCUGCGGCUGCCCGCAGGCCCUGAAAACCAGUGGCGGGCUCGCUAGUCACACCGAGCGCAGUAGCACAUCUCGCUCAGGGCGUGCGGCGGGCUCCUGCCGUGAAACCCCCCACUGUAACCCCAAAGGUUGACCUCGGAUCAGGUAGGAAUACCCGCUGAACUUAAGCAUAUCAAUAAGCGGAGGA